This 581-nucleotide ribosomal RNA is filed under the name uncultured rumen bacterium. RNAcentral describes it as "bacterial SSU rRNA". It matches the Rfam family "Bacterial small subunit ribosomal RNA", at positions 62 to 629 of the family's 1533-position model. The record is from RNAcentral.
UCGCGGGGCAACAUGAAGACUGCUUGCAGUUUUUGAUGGCGACCGGCGCACGGGUGCGUAACGCGUAUCCAAUCUACCCUUUACACAGGGAUAGCCUUGCGAAAGCAAGAUUAAUACCUGAUGUUCUUGCGAAGCCGCAUGACCUUGCAAGCAAAGGCAUUUGUCGGUAAAGGAUGAGGAUGCGUCUGAUUAGUUAGUUGGCGGGGUAACGGCCCACCAAGACAUCGAUCAGUAGGGGUUCUGAGAGGAAGGUCCCCCACACUGGAACUGAGACACGGUCCAGACUCCUACGGGAGGCAGCAGUGAGGAAUAUUGGUCAAUGGACGCAAGUCUGAACCAGCCAAGUAGCGUGCAGGAAGACGGCCCUAUCGGGUUGUAAACUGCUUUUAUACGGGAGCAAAGAUAUCCACGUGUGGUUAGUUGCGCGUACCGUAUGAAUAAUGACCGGCUAAUUCCGUGCCAGCAGCCGCGGUAAUACGGAAGGUCAGGGCGUUACCCGGAUUUAUUGGGUUUAAAGGGAGCGCAGGCGGAUUUAUAAGUCAGCCGUGAAAAGCUGUGGCUCAACCACAGUCGUGCGGUUG